RNAcentral lists this ribosomal RNA (264 nucleotides) under uncultured archaeon. Its description in RNAcentral is "partial 16S ribosomal RNA". It matches the Rfam family "Archaeal small subunit ribosomal RNA", at positions 718 to 982 of the family's 1478-position model. The record is from RNAcentral.
AGUCACUGACAUUAGAUACCCCCGUAGUCCCAGCCGUAAACAAUGUGCGUUAGGUGUGUCGGUAACCACGCGUUACUGAUGCGCCGAAGAGAAAUCGUGAAACGCACCACCUGGGAAGUACGGUCGCAAGGCUGAAACUUAAAGGAAUUGGCGGGGAGCACCACAACAGGUGGAGCCUGCGGUUUAAUUGGAUUCAACGCCGGACAUCUCGCCGGAUAAGACAGCUGAAUGAUUGUCAAUCUGAAGGUUUUACAUGACUAGCUG